This 104-nucleotide ribosomal RNA is filed under the name Bacillus subtilis. RNAcentral describes it as "partial 16S ribosomal RNA". It matches the Rfam family "Bacterial small subunit ribosomal RNA", at positions 1 to 100 of the family's 1533-position model. RNAcentral also lists the same sequence under 5 other names. The record is from RNAcentral. Lineage: Bacteria; Bacillati; Bacillota; Bacilli; Caryophanales; Bacillaceae.
UUUAUCGGAGAGUUUGAUCCUGGCUCAGGACGAACGCUGGCGGCGUGCCUAAUACAUGCAAGUCGAGCGGACAGAUGGGAGCUUGCUCCCUGAUGUUAGCGGCG